ACAGCAGUAGCCGCGGUAAAACGGAGGGUGCAAGCGUUAAUCGGAAUUACUGGGCGUAAAGCGCACGCAGGCGGUCUGACAAGUCAGAUGUGAAAUCCCCGGGCUUAACCUGGGAACUGCAUUUGAAACUGUCAGGCUGGAGUCUUGUAGAGGGGGGUGGAAUUCCAGGUGUAGCGGUGAAAUGCGUAGAGAUCUGGAGGAAUACCGGUGGCGAAGGCGGCCCCCUGGACAAAGACUGACGCUCAGGUGCGAAAGCGUGGGGAGCAAACAGGAUUAGAUACCCGAGUAGUCCCUGUCUCUUAUAC
RNAcentral lists this ribosomal RNA (305 nucleotides) under uncultured bacterium. RNAcentral describes it as "partial 16S ribosomal RNA". It matches the Rfam family "Bacterial small subunit ribosomal RNA", at positions 508 to 807 of the family's 1533-position model. The record is from RNAcentral.